RNAcentral lists this ribosomal RNA (356 nucleotides) under uncultured bacterium. Its description in RNAcentral is "bacterial SSU rRNA". It matches the Rfam family "Bacterial small subunit ribosomal RNA", at positions 29 to 412 of the family's 1533-position model. The record is from RNAcentral.
AACGAACGCUGGCGGCAUGCCUAACACAUGCAAGUCGAACGAGACCUUCGGGUCUAGUGGCGCACGGGUGCGUAACGCGUGGGAAUCUGCCCUUAGGUUCGGAAUAACUUCGGGAAACUGAAGCUAAUACCGGAUGAUGACGUAAGUCCAAAGAUUUAUCGCCUAAGGACGAGCCCGCGUAGGAUUAGCUAGUUGGUGAGGUAAAAGCUCACCAAGGCGACGAUCCUUAGCUGGUCUGAGAGGAUGAUCAGCCACACUGGGACUGAGACACGGCCCAGACUCCUACGGGAGGCAGCAGUGGGGAAUAUUGGACAAUGGGCGAAAGCCUGAUCCAGCAAUGCCGCGUGAGUGAUGAA